GUUUUACUUUAUUUUUAGUUGUAUAAAAUAUACCUCUAGCCCCUAAAUUAGUAUUUAUAAAUACUCUAUUGCCACAUUAAUUUCUCAUACCUAAUAAAAUAGUUUAAUGUUUUAAUAUUUAUAAAAUGCAUUUAAUUAUUUGUUUAAGCCACCGUUCUAUUUAGUUUAGCGCUUUUAAUUAUUUUAUAAAAAUGUGAUCCUCCACCAUAAUUACCUAUGCAAUAUUUGCCGCCUCUAGAACAUUUUAAUUUUAAUGUUUGAAAACUUUACCAUUUGACUUGAUUUUGAAUUUUGAAUUCAAACGGGAUUUGAAUCAUCGUGAGAUCAACAACAGUAAUCGUGGUGAUGUGGCAUCCUUAGUAGAGGGUUACUGUAGCUUAAAUAUCCGGGCGUCACAAUUCUCCUCCUCUACAAGAAAUCUCGUCCCGAGAUUUAAGAGGGAAGUAAAGGGGGAAGGUUCGGGUUACGAAAUUCUAGGGAGUGUUCUUGGUCUUGGUUGUUCUGCUUCAAGAGGUUGAUCCAUUACAUUGAUGUCUUCUUUUCGCUGUUUCAGGGCAUCAUGAUGAAGUUGUCGUCCUUUCUUCGGGAACUCCAUCGUACUUACGAAUAGGUCAGGGGCAGCUUUACAACAAUUGAAUGUAAUAAGGGAAAAUCAUCUUGGGGGGGUAUCCCAAGAAUGAUCGUAAGAGUAUCUCUCGAGUUGAACAAAUGAAACACAUCGAGAGCAAAGUAAGAAGGUACCAUAAGAAGUUUGAAGCGGAUAGACAAUCGUCGUUGCCUGAAACGAAGUGUGAAAGGGGUUCAAGGCAACGAGAAUAAGUAUUGUGUUUAAUACCAGGAUUGAGGAUCACACGGAAGGUGGCUCGUGAAUUGCAUACGAAGCCAAGCGUGAGGAAUAUCUUUGGAAACAAGGGGUGUACAAGAGAGUCAGGUUUCGAUCCUAUGUAACUGUGGGUUAUGGGCCCACCAUGUGGGUUGAAAAUAGGAAGGGCGGUGAUGUCUUGCACGAUCAUGUAAGUAAGGCAUGUCAGAGGGUAGACUGUCAGUUAUGUUGGCAACAACGUCGGUACCAAGGGCGAGGGACGAAGAGAACCAUUUUCCCGCUCGUUGAACAAGGCGGACCAAUAGGUAAAGUUCUCUUCCAUCGGUGGCUAUCGGAAUGUCAUAAACAAUAGUAACAGGGUCUUACUAAUAGAGUUGUACACUGAGGUGUUUACAUAAGCAGGAGAAUAUUACUGCUUAGAUUAUAUGGAUCACAAGGAAGGUUAAACAAAUCAAAUGGAAGGAAAAUGUGAUCAUCAUAUCAAACAGAACAAUGGAAAGGAAAAUGUGUUUGACACAUAUACCAGGGGUAUACCCUUCCCAAGGACAAGCGGAGUAUCAUAUCCAUGAUAGGAUAGAAAGUAGAAUACCAUUUAGGUAAGGGGAGACAAAUUUCAUGACAUUACCCAUACAACGAUGUUUGGAUAAUUGAUAAAGGGAAUUUAGCAUUUUGAAGAUCAAAGUACCAACGACUUGCUUCGAGAUAGCAUUGACAUGGCCCCCAAGCAAAGGUCGAACUUUGGAUACACCAACAUCCAUCAGGAUCAACUUAUAGAAUAAGCCUUACAAUUUCCUAAUGGAAGAAUGGCUAACCUUGCUAAAAAGGGGACUAUAACAAUAGGUCCUCCGGCCAGGUGUGCUAGGCAUGACACCAUCUUACCGGGUCAAAGACUAAUGUUAUAACUCCUGGAAUUAUGUCCAACCAUCAUGUCUGACCGAGAUUCAUAUCUGAUUGGUGACAUGAUACCUCAGACUCAGGAUGUCUGAGAAGAAAAGGUGCAACACAAAUUGACGAGAUGGAGUUACAAGACUAUCGAGAAAUGGACUAUGGAAGCAGGUCCCGAAACCAGAGUUCGGCAUUAAACCAAGGAGUGGAUGAGGAGGUGGCUGAUGGACUCAGCGACAUAUCAUCCAGAUUUCUCAAAAAGACGGAUUUCCACAAUUAGGUGAACAAGGAAAUAUCAUUUGUCGGAUCAAAUGAUAUAAUGAUGUAUGCUCGAGGGAAACAUAGACAACUGAACAAUGAUAGAAGGGUGCACCCAGGAAUCUGGACUAGGUAGCACGGUUAAAAUUUAGCACGAUAAUGAUAUAGCCAACCAGGCUAGGAAUGACUUGAAGGAUUAUUAAACUCGUAAGCAAUGAAAAUUACUUAUAAUUAUUAAAUCGGAGUACAGACUCAAUUCACUAUCGGUGUCCUUGAGUGUCUAACAACUCAGAAUCCGGGGAAAAUUUUGGAAUCAGUGAGAAAUAAUACUUGAAGAAGAACUCAUAAGAAGUUAUGCAGUUCCUUGAUAAUCUCAAGAUACCAGAGGGGGUAAUACUCGACGACGGAUCAAAGUAGAGGUUGGACUGGGGUAUUGCUCUACAGAAGACAAGCGCUUAAACUUGCCCGAGAAAUGGGAUCAAAGAAGAACAUAUGGUCGGAACCACGAUUGCAAGGAUCAAUUCACAGAUACCAAAUGAUAUUAUAUCAAGGGGAUAGUUAUUAUUACAAGAAGCUUCCAUGAUAGGAUAUACAUCGUGUCCAUGGGCAUGAACACAAGUUCAAGGUCGACUCUCACUUCUUCAGUGUAUAACCUUUCAUUCACUUCUCUUUUUCGAAGAAGUUGUAGGGUUGAAUUAUCUGGCAAAAUACCAGACGACUAUGACUCGUGAAAACUUUUGAGUUCACACAUAAUAUGGAAGGCAUAGGUUCAACCAUCGAGGCAUCUUAGGAGCAUAUACCACAAUUUCAGGAAUAAAUAACUCAAGCUCGAGAGUAGAGUAUGCUGGAGAAAGCAAAUGAUACAAUUUAUCAAAGGCAUUAUAUACCCAUGGAAAUGCUCACAAGGUUAUUCAAUAUGAAGCACCCUGUCGGAUAAAAUCCAACGAAGGAACCGAUGGUCCACAAGGGAUAUGAUGUGAGCAUCGGUACUCAACCAGAGUAAGAAGAAUGCAGGUAGACCUGAUUAUAGAAACAACUGACUAAUUCAAAGUUCACAUGCAAAAGAAUUAUGAUUUCCAAAUCAGGGGAUCAGAAGCCACGCUCUGAUCAAGGAUGGAUAAGUUGAGUAGGCUUAGGGGUACAUUCGAUGGCAGUUUGAUUGGUCGAGAUCCAGCUCAUGUACAAAUUGACACUGAGUCGGAAGAAUGAAUUCAAGGAUUCGACUGAGGAAUGCGAGCAUUCGCAUCUUAUUGAAUCAAUGGACUCAAAAGGGUAGUGGCAAAGGAUGCCAAUAAGAUUACUAGACUUAUGGGAUUAACCAAAAUGUAAGCAAGCAAGAAUUUCAAGAGCAAUAGGCUCCUGAGGAUUUUUGGAAGAUCGAAUGGUAUUUCGAGGAUUGAUGACAUACAUGAAUCAACUGGAGAUGAGUGGAUACUCGGUAAGUGUGAGAAAUUAUCCGUAGGGAUAUUCAUGUGGCAAGAACUGCAAGGCAGUAGGCACAACGUAUCCUCGAAACAUUAGAGAGAAUUUCAGGGUAUCUUGUAAUAACAAGAUCAACUGGGGAAGAAUGUAAGAACAACAACUAUAAGUAGUUAUCCUUAGGGGUUUACGGUGGAAGGGGAAUUGCAAGAGGGAUGGCACAAAGUAUCGAGGGAACAUCCGAGAGUAUUGUCAGAAUCUUUCGUUGAAGCAGCCGAUCAUCCAUAUUAAAGGGCUCUCUGGCAGGAAGUGGUAACGAGAACCUAGAGUUGGAUUUUAGCAAAAUCAUUUAACCCGAAUAGAAGAGAGUUCAGAGUCCCAGAGUAAGGAUCGAGGAGUAAAAGAUCCUAAUACCACCCAGAUGGCGACGUGGGCCCGUAAGCCGCACAGCCAUGUUAGUAAAAGUUUUUGUAAUGUCUAGACUCGACUUCGGCCAAGGUGUGUGGAAGGGGGAUUCCUACAGGCAGUCGGCUCUGAUACCAACUUGUCGCGCCCCCGAUUUAAUCGUACACUAAUCAUACACGCAAACGUGUACGAUCAAGAUCAGGGACUCACGGGAAGAUAUCACAACACAACACUACAAAUAAAAUAAGUCAUACAAGCAUCAUAUUACAAGCCAGGGGCCUCAAGGGCUCGAAUACAAGAGCUCGGUCCUAGACGAGUCAGCGGAAGCAACAAUAUUUGAGUACAGACAUAAGUUAAACAAGUUGCCAUAAGAUGGCUAGCACAAACUGGGAUACAGAUCGAAAGAGGCGCAGGCCUCCUGCCUGGGAUCCUCCUAACUACUCCUGGUCAUCGUCAGCGGGCAACACGUAGUAGUAGGCACCUCCGGUGUAGUAGGAGUCGUCAUCGACGGUGGCGUCUGGCUCCUGGACUCCAGCAUCUGGUUGUGACAACCAGAAAGAAGGGAAAGCGGGAAAAGGGGGGAGAAAGCAACCGUGAGUACUCAUCCAAAGUAUUCGCAAGCAAGGAGCUACACUACAUAUGUAUGCAAUGGUAUCAACUGGAAUAAGGCUAUUAUAUGUGGACUGGAUUGCAAAAAGCCGAAAUAAGAGGGGGAUAGCUAGUCCUUUCGAAGACUACACUUCUGGUAACCUCCAUCUUGCAGCAUGUAGAAAAGAGUAGACUGAAGUCCUCCAAGUAGCAUCGUAUAGCAUAAUCCUACCCGAUGAUCCUCUCCUCGUCGCCCUGUUAGAGAGCGAUCACCGGGAUAUAUCUGGCACUUGGAAGGGGGUGUUUUAUUUAGUAUCCGGUUCUAGUUGUCAUAAGGUCAAGGUACAACUCCGGGUCGUCCUUUUACCGAGGGACACGGCUAUUCGAAUAGAUAAAAUUCCCCGCAGGGGUGCACCACAUUCCCCAACACGCUCGAUCCCAUUUGGCCGGACACACUUUUCUGGGUCAUGCCCGGCCUCGGAAGAUCAACACGUUGCAGCCCUACCUAGGCACAACAGAGAGGUCAGCACGCCGGUUUAAACCUAAGCGCACAGGGGUCUGGGCCCAUCGCCCUUAGCACACCUGCACGUUGCGAACGCGGCCGGAAGCAGAACUAGCCCCCUUAAUAGAAGAGCAGGCUUACGUUCCAAUCCGGCGCGCGCCGCUGGGUCGCUGACGUCACGAAGGCUUUCGGCUGAUACCACGACGCCGGGAUACCCAUAACUACUCCUGCGUAGAUGGUUAGUGCGUAUAAGCUAGAUGGCCAGACUCAGAUCAAAUACCCAGAUCUCGUUUAGCGUGUUAAGUAUCCGCGAACGCCAACCAGGGCCAGGCCCACCUCUCUCCUAGGUGGUCUGAACCUGCCCUGUCGCUUCGCCACAAAGAUCCACACAGAGGGCCGUCGGGAAAGUAUGUCCUUGCAGCCCCCAAUUCGUGAAUCAACUGCGGGUACUCCUCGAGCCAACCCGACUUUGUUCAUCACAUGUAUCACGUAUAAAGUAUAUAGUAUAUACCCGUGAUCACCUCCCGAGUGAUCACGGCCCGAUAGUAUAGCAUGGCAGAUGGACAAGAAUGUAGGGCCACUGAUGAUAAACUAGCAUCCUAUACUAAGCAUUAGGAUUGCAGGUCAAGGUAAUAACAGUAGUAGCAAGGACAGGCUAUGUAUCAGGAUAGGAUUAACGGGAAGCAGUAACAUGCUACACUACUCUAAUGCAAGCAGUAUAGAGAAGAGUAGGCAAUAUCUGUGAUCAAAGGGGGGGGGCGCUUGCCUGGUUGCUCUGGCAAGAGAGAGGGGUCGUCAACUCCGUAGUCGUACUGGGGUCACCGGCAGUCUCGGGGUCUACCGGAAAGAAGUAACGGGGGAACACAAUAAAUAAUGGAGCAAUCAAAGCAUCACUAAGCGUAACAUGGCAAUACGCGGUGUUAGAGGUGGUCUAACGCAGGGAUAGGUAAUAUCGGCGAAGGGGGAAAACAUCCGGGAAAGCAUUCCCGGUGUUUCACGUUUUCGGACAGAUGAACCAGAGGGGGAAAGUUGCGUGUUUGCUAUGCUAGGGAUGUGUAGCAGACAAACGGGCUACGUAUCCGGAUUCGUCUCGCCGAUCUGAGCAACUUUCAUGUAUAAAACUUUUUCAUUCGAGUUACGGUUUAUUUUUUAUGAUUUAUCAAAGUUUUAGGCAUUUUUUGAAAUUUAUUUAAUUAUUUAAAUUGAACAUUAUCCAGAACAGUGAAAGGUGAUGUCAGCAUGACAUCACCAUGACGUCAGCAGGUCAACCCAGCUGACCAAAGUCAAACCUGGCCUGUGGGUCCAGCGGGACCCACUUGUCAUCCUCUGUUUAGGUUAGUUAGGGUUUAGCUAAUCCAGUUACUGUUUAAUUAAACUAACUAAUUAAUUAGGUUAAUUAAAUAGGAUUAAUUAACUUACUUAAUUCACUAAUUAAUUAAUUUAAUUAAUUAUUAAAUUAAUUCAUUCAUUUUAUUUUAUUUUUCAUUUUCUUUUAAAACGUUCUGGGGUUGGGGCCCCAUAUGUCAUAGGGCCAGGGGGCCUUAACGGGUCGUGGGUGGUGGUUCUGGGCGCAGGGCGAAGCCGGGCGACGGGCGCCAGCCCGCCCAACAGGGGGCGGCGGCCAGCAGGGCAAGGGAGCCGGCGCGUGGCCCAGCGCCGGCGACCUUAGCCGGAGCAGGGCGGCACGGCGAGGCCGGGGGAGCAAAGGGAGGCGCGGUGGCAUGCACGCAGGGCGCUAGAGGCCCGGCCAGAGUCGGCGAUGCGCGUGGGGGUGGCUUGCCGGAGCCGCCGGGAGCAGCGGCGGGCGGCCAGGCAUGGCGGGGCGGCAACAGGGCGGAAUACAGAGCACGUAGCAGCGGGAGCGGGGAACGCCGCGGGGCGGCGCGCAGCGGGCUCCGGACGCAGGCGCGUGCGGCAGGAAGCGCGAGGGGACGCGGACGAAUGUGGUCUGCGUGCGGAAAGCGUGAGCGCGCGCACGGAGGAGCGGGGGCAUGGUGAGCGGAGCCACGGCGUGAGCGCGUGCACCGGGGGGGGGAGCAGGUGGGGGAGCUCACAGGGGAGGAGUAGGGAACGGGGCAGUGGUGCUUGGGGAGGUCGACGGCGACGACGUGCGUAGAAGGGAGGCAGACCGGUGAGGGCGCUCCGGGCGGCGGGGUGCAGCAUCGAGGUGGCUCUAGGAUCGGCGAGCGGUGGGCGGUGUCGAGGGCGCCGGCGACAUCGGGGCGGCCCCUCGCGAUCCAGAUCGGGAUCGGGCAGAGGGGGGAGAGGGAGAGCGGGGUUAGCGAGGAGGAGGUCAAGGACGGCCUGUCCGACAGGGAGGCGGCGCCGGCGAUCGGCAUUGGGGGCGCGCGGCAUNNNNNNNNNNNNNNNNNNNNNNNNNNNNNNNNNNNNNNNNNNNNNNNNNNNNNNNNNNNNNNNNNNNNNNNNNNNNNNNNNNNNNNNNNNNNNNNNNNNNNNNNNNNNNNNNNNNNNNNNNNNNNNNNNNNNNNNNNNNNNNNNNNNNAGUUGCCCCGAUCUGGAUCAUGGGGGAGUGGGGGAACGAGGGGGGAGUGGGGAGUGACUCGUCUAGGGUUUGGGUGCCAGGGGGGUUAGUAGGCGCGGCUGGGCCGGCCGGCUAGGCCAGGUGGGCUGGCCUGGUGUGAGCUGGGCCGCCUGGUCCAGUGGGGGAGGGGGUUUCCCCUUUUUUUGUAAGUUUUGUUUUCUGUUUUAUUUUUUUAUUUAUAGUUCCUGUUUUCAUAUUAGUUUUACUUUAUUUUUAGUUUUAUAAAAUAUACCACUAGCCCCUAAAUUAGUAUUUAUAAAUACUCUAUUGCCACAUUAAUUCCUCAUACCUAAUAAAAUAGUUUAAUGUUUUAAUAUUUAUAAAAUGCAUUUAAUUAUUUGUUUAAGCCACCGUUCUAUUUAGUUUAGCGCUUUUAAUUAUUUUAUAAAAAUGUGAUCCUCCACCAUAAUUACCUAUGCAAUAUUUGCCGCCUCUAGAACAUUUUAAUUUUAAUGUUUGAAAACUUUACCAUUUGACUUGAUUUUGAAUUUUGAAUUCAAACGGGAUUUGAAUCAUCGUGAGAUCAACAACAGUAAUCAUGGUGAUGUGGCAUCCUUAGUAGAGGGUUACUGUAGCUUAAAUAUCUGGGUGUCACAAUAAGAGGGGGG
This 8030-nucleotide long non-coding RNA is filed under the name Triticum aestivum (bread wheat). RNAcentral describes it as "long non-coding RNA (TAES_LNC009723)". The record is from RNAcentral. Lineage: Eukaryota; Viridiplantae; Streptophyta; Magnoliopsida; Poales; Poaceae.